This 715-nucleotide ribosomal RNA is filed under the name uncultured Bacteroidota bacterium. Its description in RNAcentral is "bacterial SSU rRNA". It matches the Rfam family "Bacterial small subunit ribosomal RNA", at positions 710 to 1431 of the family's 1533-position model. Lineage: Bacteria; Pseudomonadati; Bacteroidota. The record is from RNAcentral.
CGAUUGCGAAGGCAGCUUGCUGGGCCAUUACUGACGCUGAUGCACGAAAGCGUGGGGAUCGAACAGGAUUAGAUACCCUGGUAGUCCACGCCGUAAACGAUGAUCACUCGCUGUUAGCGAUACACAGUUAGCGGCUAAGCAAAAGCAUUAAGUGAUCCACCUGGGGAGUACGGCCGCAAGGCUGAAACUCAAAGGAAUUGACGGGGGCCCGCACAAGCGGAGGAACAUGUGGUUUAAUUCGAUGAUACGCGAGGAACCUUACCUGGGCUUAAAUGUAGAGUGCAUGAGGUGGAAACACUUCUUUCCUUCGGGACUCUUUGCAAGGUGCUGCAUGGUUGUCGUCAGCUCGUGCCGUGAGGUGUCGGGUUAAGUCCCAUAACGAGCGCAACCCUUAUCGUUAGUUGCCAGCGGGUAAUGCCGGGAACUCUAGCGAAACUGCCGGUGUAAACCGAGAGGAAGUGGGGAUGACGUCAAAUCAGCACGGCCCUUAUGUCCAGGGCUACACACGUGUUACAAUGGCCGGUACAGAGGGCAGCUACCUGGAGACAGAUGCGAAUCUCGAAGCCGGUCUCAGUUCGGAUCGGAGUCUGCAACUCGACUCCGUGAAGCUGGAUUCGCUAGUAAUCGCGCAUCAGCCAUGGCGCGGUGAAUACGUUCCCGGGCCUUGUACACACCGCCCGUCAGCCAUGGAAGUUGGGGGUACACUGAAGUCCGU